UCCUUUCAUUUUUCAUCCCCAACAGCAGCUCGAAGACUGCGGACGAAAUUUGUGCAAACAGAAUGUGUCUUUCCUUAAUACCUAGCAAAUUUGCUCACUAUGGGAGUAUCUGGCCAAUCGGAGUCCGAUUGGAACACGUCUAAAAUGGUUGAAGAUUCCCAAAUUGGAGAAAGGGUUGGUCACGUGCCGAAGACAGACCAGACUCGACGUAGCUGGUCUACUCGUGAGGAAGAGACCUUGAUGUUAGCCCUAAAAGACCUUGUUGUGAAAAAGUGGAAACAGAUAACGACUUUCGUGGCGGGUAUCUAGCCCGGAUUGAGGAAAUCAUCAAGCGUGAAUGCCCAAAAAGUGACAUUAAGGCAACCCCCCAUAUUAGCUCCAAGCUCCAGCACUGGAAAAAAAAACUACUACUCUCUGGUUAUCAUGCUCAAACGAAGCGGCAUUGGCUUCAAUUGCAAGGGCGAUCACAAGAUUGAUUGUGAUAACCACCAAUGAGAACAAAUUGUUAGGGUGUAUUUCUUACUAUUAUUGGCUUCUUACUUAUGUUUUCACAUGUUUAUUAUUGGUGAUGUGUUUCAAGUCGUGGCCUCUGUUUGUUGAAUGG
Molecule: long non-coding RNA, 604 nt
Organism: Salvia splendens (bonfire salvia)
Lineage: Eukaryota; Viridiplantae; Streptophyta; Magnoliopsida; Lamiales; Lamiaceae
Exons: 3
Source: RefSeq, a predicted model, not a curated record